RNAcentral lists this ribosomal RNA (295 nucleotides) under uncultured bacterium. Its description in RNAcentral is "partial 16S ribosomal RNA". It matches the Rfam family "Bacterial small subunit ribosomal RNA", at positions 333 to 642 of the family's 1533-position model. The record is from RNAcentral.
CAGUGCCUACGGGGGGCAGCAGUGGGGAAUAUUGCACAAUGGGGGAAACCCUGAUGCAGCGACGCCGCGUGAGCGAUGAAGUAUUUCGGUAUGUAAAGCUCUAUCAGCAGGGAAGAAAGAAAUGACGGUACCUGACUAAGAAGCCCCGGCUAACUACGUGCCAGCAGCCGCGGUAAUACGUAGGGUGCAAGCGUUAUCCGGAUUUACUGGGUGUAAAUGGAGCGUAGACGGCAGUGCAAGUCUGUAGUGAAAGGCGGGGGCCCAACCCCCGGACUGCUUUGUAUACUGUGCUUCU